RNAcentral lists this ribosomal RNA (464 nucleotides) under Vandammella animalimorsus. RNAcentral describes it as "bacterial SSU rRNA". It matches the Rfam family "Bacterial small subunit ribosomal RNA", at positions 9 to 469 of the family's 1533-position model. The record is from RNAcentral. Lineage: Bacteria; Pseudomonadati; Pseudomonadota; Betaproteobacteria; Burkholderiales; Comamonadaceae.
GAGUUUGAUUCUGGCUCAGAUUGAACGCUGGCGGCAUGCUUUACACAUGCAAGUCGAACGGUAACAUGGGUGCUUGCACCUGAUGACGAGUGGCGAACGGGUGAGUAAUACAUCGGAACAUGCCCAAUUGUGGGGGAUAGCUCGGCGAAAGCCGGAUUAAUACCGCAUAAGAUCUAUGGAUGAAAGCAGGGGACCUUCGGGCCUUGCGCGAUUGGAGUGGCCGAUGGCAGAUUAGGUAGUUGGUGGGGUAAAGGCCUACCAAGCCUGCGAUCUGUAGCUGGUCUGAGAGGACGACCAGCCACACUGGGACUGAGACACGGCCCAGACUCCUACGGGAGGCAGCAGUGGGGAAUUUUGGACAAUGGGCGCAAGCCUGAUCCAGCAAUGCCGCGUGCAGGACGAAGGCCUUCGGGUUGUAAACUGCUUUUGUACAGAACGAAAAGUCUCUGGUUAAUACCUGGGGA